AUACGGAGGGUGCAAGCGUUACUCGGAAUCACUGGGCGUAAAGCGCGCGCAGGCGGCUAUUUAAGUUGGAUGUGAAAGCCUAUGGCUCAACCAUAGAACUGCAUCCAAAACUAUUUAGCUAGAGUGUGGGAGAGGAAGAUGGAAUUAGUUGUGUAGGGGUAAAAUCCGUAGAGAUAACUAGGGAUACCAAAAGCGAAGGCAAUCUUCUGGAACACUACUGACGCUGAGGCGCGAAAGCGUGGGGAGCAAACGGGAUUAGAAACCCCAGUAGUCC
This 274-nucleotide ribosomal RNA is filed under the name uncultured bacterium. RNAcentral describes it as "partial 16S ribosomal RNA". It matches the Rfam family "Bacterial small subunit ribosomal RNA", at positions 523 to 796 of the family's 1533-position model. The record is from RNAcentral.